AGUCAUUGUGGAUUAAGAAUCCAUGUCAGGUUUUCAGGAAUCCCUCCGGCUCAGACGGCUCCCGCAGACGACUGCUUUCCACUGCACUGGCGCUGUGUGCUGGAAGCCCGCUCCGCGCUGCUUCCUCCAAGUGUCUCAACACUGUGAGCGGGAUCUCUUCCAGAGGCGAGCCGCUGAAACUUGCCCAGUCUCCACAGUCUGAUUCAGGGGAGCCAAGAGAACAGCAUCGGUGGCUAUAAGUACGCUUUGCUUUACCUCUCCCCGUCAUCAGACACUGAAAAAGCCCUCACUCCGUGUUGUCACUCUUGUCACCCAGUGUUUUUUUUUUUUUUUUUCUUUUCUCCUUUUGCUUUUUAAUUUUUUUCCCCCCACCCUCGCUUCUCUACUCUUCUCGUUUGUUUCUGCUGCAUCGGGAGUGAGUGCGCAGCGGAGCGCCGUGACUUGAUGAGCCGCUUAAAAAGGUGGUGUGAGGUGUUGAUGAGUUAGGACUGAGCGCAGAGCAACACCUUGCAUGCCAUGGAAGUGCGUGUCCGGCGCAGGGGGAUGUGUGCGGGCUGAGAGGGGGACUCUUCGCCUGAUAACCAGCCGCUCUGUCCCAGAUUAAGAGGGGGAAGCAUGCCUCAGACCUGCAGACCAACUCUCUUCGAUGCAGAGGAGUCCCCACCAGACUGUCUUUUCACAAUCUGACGUUUUUAUCCACAAAUCACAUUUCGUUUCUUCCCGAACUGACUUUUUGCUUUGCCAUUUUUGGCGGCUCCACUGCUUUUCCAAAAAAAAAAAAAAAAAAAAAAGGGAAGAAGAUCGAUAAUGAGCAUCUCUGAGACCAGUUGGCUUGGGCUUUUCUGAUCAGAAGCUGUUACCCACAACACUAACCUGCCACAAAUCAUCAAUACUCAGCACCAUGGCAUGCAGCCUGCGGACACUACACACCUUUUGCUGGUUUCUCAUCACUCUAAACCAAGUACACUCCACAGAGGGGUAUAGCAGA
Molecule: long non-coding RNA, 988 nt
Organism: Poecilia latipinna (sailfin molly)
Lineage: Eukaryota; Metazoa; Chordata; Actinopteri; Cyprinodontiformes; Poeciliidae
Exons: 3
Source: RefSeq, a predicted model, not a curated record